RNAcentral lists this transfer RNA (79 nucleotides) under Pseudoleptotrichia goodfellowii. Its description in RNAcentral is "tRNA-OTHER". It matches the Rfam family "tRNA". From Rfam's summary of the family: Transfer RNA (tRNA) molecules are approximately 80 nucleotides in length. Lineage: Bacteria; Fusobacteriati; Fusobacteriota; Fusobacteriia; Fusobacteriales; Leptotrichiaceae. The record is from RNAcentral.
GGACUGUAUGGCUGAAAGGUUAAGGCAUGGGUAAACUCGAGUAAAUCCUAUAUGGCAGGUUCGACUCCUGCACAGUCCA